Molecule: ribosomal RNA, 492 nt
Filed under: uncultured bacterium
Lineage: Bacteria
Description: partial 16S ribosomal RNA
Rfam family: Bacterial small subunit ribosomal RNA
Source: RNAcentral
AGUGAACGCUGGCGGUAGGCCUAACACAUGCAAGUCGAACGGCAGCACAGUAAGAGCUUGCUCUUACGGGUGGCGAGUGGCGGACGGGUGAGGAAUACAUCGGAAUCUACUUUUUCGUGGGGGAUAACGUAGGGAAACUUACGCUAAUACCGCAUACGACCUACGGGUGAAAGCAGGGGAUCUUCGGACCUUGCGUGAUUGAAUGAGCCGAUGUCGGAUUAGCUAGUUGGCGGGGUAAAGGCCCACCAAGGCGACGAUCCGUAGCUGGUCUGAGAGGUUGAUCAGCCACACUGGAACUGAGACACGGUCCAGACUCCUACGGGAGGCAGCAGUGGGGAAUAUUGGACAAUGGGCGCAAGCCUGAUCCAGCCAUACCGCGUGGGUGAAGAAGGCCUUCGGGUUGUAAAGCCCUUUUGUUGGGAAAGAAAAGCAGCAGGUUAAUACCCCGCUGUUCUGACGGUACCCAAAGAAUAAGCACCGGCUAACUUCGUG